AUGAGAAUGAAGAAAGGUUGCAGGUGGAUGAAGGCGGCUAUAGAAGUUUGUUAUGAUCUGUUAGAUGAGCUGGUAGAAUCGGUUAGGAGGGCAAGCUUAGUGACUUAUGGGAUUUGUGAAUUGAUGCUGCAGAUUUGGGAAUAUGACGUCAAGGCUUGCAAGUUUUAUGCUUUGUCGUGGUCACGAGGAAUGGUCAAAAGAAGGCGAAGUUGUGAUGGGGCAAAACAGUUGUUUGAAGUUGGUUGA
Non-coding RNA from Vicia faba (fava bean), 246 nucleotides. Lineage: Eukaryota; Viridiplantae; Streptophyta; Magnoliopsida; Fabales; Fabaceae. The record is from the annotation of a GenBank genome assembly.